AACCCAUGGUGAGGGCACCUUCUCAAUAAAUCCUUAUACCUCGCUCAUGCAUCAUAUAGGGUUUCUAAGUCCAUUUGCACAAAAGAAGAGAUAUCAUUCCUCAACUU
Molecule: non-coding RNA, 107 nt
Organism: Gossypium hirsutum (cotton)
Lineage: Eukaryota; Viridiplantae; Streptophyta; Magnoliopsida; Malvales; Malvaceae
Source: Rfam